UACGUAGGGUGCGAGCGUUAAUCGGAAUUACUGGGCGUAAAGUGUGCGCAGGCGGCUUCGCAAGUCGAGUGUGAAAUCCCCGAGCUUAACUUGGGAAUUGCGCUCGAAACUACGGAGCUGGAGUGUGGCAGAGGAAGGUGGAAUUCCACGUGUAGCGGUGAAAUGCGUAGAGAUGUGGAGGAACACCGAUGGCGAAGGCAGCCUUCUGGGCCGAUACUGACGCUGAGGAGCGAAAGCGUGGGGAGCGAACAGG
Molecule: ribosomal RNA, 253 nt
Filed under: uncultured bacterium
Lineage: Bacteria
Description: partial 16S ribosomal RNA
Rfam family: Bacterial small subunit ribosomal RNA
Source: RNAcentral